Molecule: ribosomal RNA, 138 nt
Filed under: uncultured bacterium
Lineage: Bacteria
Description: partial 16S ribosomal RNA
Rfam family: Bacterial small subunit ribosomal RNA
Source: RNAcentral
UGGGGAAGUAUUGCACAAUGGGCGAAAGCCUGAUGCAGCAACGCCGCGUGAGCGAUGAAGGCCUUCGGGUCGUAAAGCUCUGUCCUCAAGGAAGAUAAUGACGGUACUUGAGGAGGAAGCCCCGGCUAACUACGUGCC